Molecule: microRNA precursor, 58 nt
Organism: Colobus angolensis palliatus
Lineage: Eukaryota; Metazoa; Chordata; Mammalia; Primates; Cercopithecidae
Source: Ensembl
UGCAAAAGUAAUUGUGGUUUUUGUCAUUGAUUGUAAUGGCAGAAACUGCAAUUAUUUU